Molecule: ribosomal RNA, 468 nt
Filed under: uncultured bacterium
Lineage: Bacteria
Description: bacterial SSU rRNA
Rfam family: Bacterial small subunit ribosomal RNA
Source: RNAcentral
GGGCCCGCACAAGCGGUGGAGCAUGUGGUUUAAUUCGACGCAACGCGAAGAACCUUACCAAGGCUUGACAUCUACAGAAUCCUUAAGAGAUUAGGGAGUGCCCUUCGGGGAGCUGUAAGACAGGUGGUGCAUGGUUGUCGUCAGCUCGUGUCGUGAGAUGUUGGGUUAAGUCCCGCAACGAGCGCAACCCCUAUAUUCAGUUGCCAGCAUGUAAAGAUGGGAACUCUGGAUAGACUGCCGGUGACAAACCGGAGGAAGGUGGGGAUGACGUCAAAUCAUCAUGCCCCUUAUGUCUUGGGCUACACACGUGCUACAAUGGGCAGUACAGACGGAAGCGAAGCCGCGAGGUAGAGCAAAUCCGAGAAAGCUGUUCGUAGUUCGGAUUGCAGGCUGCAACUCGCCUGCAUGAAGUCGGAAUCGCUAGUAAUCGCAGGUCAGCACACUGCGGUGAAUACGUUCCCGGGCCUU